GGGGUUGUAGCUCGGUGGUAGGAGCACUUGCCUCUCACGCUUGAGGCCCUGGGUUCAAUCCUCAGCACCA
This 70-nucleotide transfer RNA is filed under the name Ictidomys tridecemlineatus (thirteen-lined ground squirrel). RNAcentral describes it as "Spermophilus tridecemlineatus (thirteen-lined ground squirrel) tRNA". It matches the Rfam family "tRNA". Rfam says of the family: Transfer RNA (tRNA) molecules are approximately 80 nucleotides in length. Their secondary structure includes four short double-helical elements and three loops (D, anti-codon, and T loops). Lineage: Eukaryota; Metazoa; Chordata; Mammalia; Rodentia; Sciuridae. The record is from Rfam by way of RNAcentral.